Molecule: unclassified non-coding RNA, 338 nt
Filed under: soil metagenome
Description: partial contains 5.8S ribosomal RNA, internal transcribed spacer 2, and large subunit ribosomal RNA
Rfam family: 5.8S ribosomal RNA (bases 1-120)
Source: RNAcentral
GAUGAAGAACGCAGCGAAAUGCGAUAAGUAAUGUGAAUUGCAGAAUUCAGUGAAUCAUCGAAUCUUUGAACGCACAUUGCGCCCGCCAGUAUUCUGGCGGGCAUGCCUGUUCGAGCGUCAUUUCAACCAUCAAGCCCCCGGCUUGUGUUGGGGACCUGCGGCUGCCGCAGGCCCUGAAAACCAGUGGCGGGCUCGCUAGUCACACCGAGCGCAGUAGCACAUCUCGCUCAGGGCGUGCGGCGGGCUCCUGCCGUGAAACCCCCCACUGUAACCCCAAAGGUUGACCUCGGAUCAGGUAGGAAUACCCGCUGAACUUAAGCAUAUCAAUAAGCGGAGGA